UACGUAGGAGGCGAGCGUUGUCCGGAGUUACUGGGCGUAAAGCGUACGCAGGCGGUCCAAUCAGUCUGUAGGGACAGGGCACAGCUUAACUGUGUCAGGCUUAUGGAAACUGUUGGACUUGAGGGCUUCAGAGGGAUGGGGAAUUCCGGGUGGAGUGGUGAAAUGCGUAGAGAUCCGGAAGAACACCAAAGGCGUAGGCACCAUCCUGGGGAGUCACUGACGCUCAUGUACGAAAGCUAGGGGAGCGAACGGG
RNAcentral lists this ribosomal RNA (253 nucleotides) under uncultured bacterium. RNAcentral's name for it is "partial 16S ribosomal RNA". It matches the Rfam family "Bacterial small subunit ribosomal RNA", at positions 524 to 776 of the family's 1533-position model. The record is from RNAcentral.